Molecule: non-coding RNA, 2910 nt
Organism: Cricetulus griseus (Chinese hamster)
Lineage: Eukaryota; Metazoa; Chordata; Mammalia; Rodentia; Cricetidae
Source: RefSeq, a predicted model, not a curated record
UAAGUCUUAUAAAAUAUAUAGAUUUAUGAUAAUUAAGACUGAGCUAACAGAUAAGAAAUCCUAUUCAUUGGCCAAACAGCAUUUGUACUUAAUAUAAGUCUCUGUAUGUGACUUGGGACCUUAACAUUGUGGCGGGCGGACCAUGGGAGGCCAGGGAGCAAGUGCCCACGUGGCUGCAGGACUCGGGCAGCUUGGAAUAAAGCCUUAUUGCUACAGACCACAGCCCACUACAGCAAUCUCAUAAAAAUAUUAUUCUAAUUCUGAGGUAGACAGCUAUCUUUUUCGGUCAGGGCUACUCACCCUGCUUCUCUACUUCUGGAGGAAAAGCUUCCAUUGAAUCUUCACUUCAGUCUUCCUACUCUGUUUCAGAUUUAUUUCCAAUAUUAGUGAGGUGGAAGUCCCUGUCAUCACCACAAGACUUCAGAGACAACUUGACCUGCUGCUGUGACCUUUCCUGCCAUGAUGCACUUUGCCUUCAAUCUGUGAGACAAAACAAAUCCUUUCUACCUUAAGUUGAUUUUUAAAAUAUUUUGUUUUUAUGUACUUGUCUAUUUAUUGUGUGGGGGGUGGUGGUGGUGGUGCCAGUUUAUAUGUCUGUGCACCAUGUACAUGCAAUGCCCAAGAAGGCCAGAAGAGGGUGUCAGAUCUUCGGGGACUGAAGUUGUGAGCUGCCAUGUGAAUGCUGGGACUUAAGACCUGGGUCCUUAGAAGAACAAAAAAAUGCUCUUAAUCAUCGAGGCAUUCCAGCCACCAUGCACUUUUCAGUUGUUUUUGUCUUCUCUAAAUCCCUUGGGGAUAGCUCUCCAAGCUUGCCCAAGGGAAGGGUGGAGCCAGCUCUCUGGAGUGGUGUACCACAGCCAGAGAUGGACAGGGUCAGCUCUUCCCACCUCCUCUCCUCACCUAUUGCAAACAGGAUAGCUGACAUGAGAGCAGGAGAGAAGUUUCUGCACUUUGCCAGCUAAAGCACUUGGCAGAGCAAGCCCCAUGCUUUACCUGGGCACAGUAGAGCUGGCCUCGAUGGUAACAGCACAGGUGAGCCGGCCCUGAGGGCAUGAUAGCUGGAGAGUUGGUCCCACUCCGCUCCUGGGUAGUGUGGGAGAGCUGGCUCCACCUCUUGCUAGGGUGAUAUAGAAGAGCUGCCCUUUGCUAGUUGCAACACUCAGGAGAGCAGGCUGUAUACCUCCUCUGGGCAUGUGGUACACCUAGCCCUUGGGGUAUGAAGAGCAGGCCUGAGGGCAUGAAAAUAGGAGACCUGGCCCCACACCUUCCUGCUGUAACCUUCUGGUGGAUCCUGUCCCACCCCUUGCCAGCUGCCACACUCAGGACAGCUGCCUCCCCCCAUCCCCACCACACCACCUGGACAAAACAGAAAAUCUGGCCCCGGGGCACCAGGUGCAGAACAGACAGCCUGACCAACUCAGCUAUGACCGCAGCCCAGAUCCAGGGCUUUGAGUUGGCCAGCUCCAACAUCUACCCCAUCCAUGAACUGCUGGAGCUCAAGGAGGGGCAAGUCCUGCGGAUCCAAAGCUCCGGAUCUCCACAGGGCAACAACAGGACAUCAGAAAGGAGUCCAGGCAGCAUCCAGUAUUGACAGUGUCAGAAGCCAGAGGCCUCAAUGCAGACCAAUGACUCAUUAAGAGGUAUUUGGAGGCACAGGAGACGUGUCUGUCUAUAGAGGCGGUUGCCAUCAAAGUCUGCUGACCUGAGUCCACUCCCACAUGGUAAAAGGAAAGAAUCAACUCCAGCAAGCUGUCUUUUGACUGCCACACAUUUAUUGUGGUGUAUAUAUACACACACACACAUUUUCAAAAACAGUCAUAAAAAGAUGUUUGCACUCUCAUGUUUAUUGUAGUACUAUAUAUAGCAGUCAAGAUAUAGGAAUGCCCUAAAUUUCCAGCUCUGUAUGGAAGGAGAAAUAAAUCAUGGCAUGAAUAUAUAGUUAGAUACUUUUCCACCUUAAAAAAAUAAAAAGGGUAUUCUGACCUAUGUGAUGCUGUGAGUGAAACUUGAGGGUAUGCUGAAUGAAAUGGGACAGUUACAGAGGGUUGAAACUAAGAGUGAUCCCUGUGUCACACAAAGGAACAUAAGGACAAAGUGAAAGCCCAGCAAGGCCAUUUCUUUUGUGAAAAAUGAGAAACCACUAAAACGAGACUGACAAGGGCAGGGGGCUCACUUGGAUUUUUCAACACUGGCGGUGGCUGCUUUUUCUCAUAGGCUGGAGUCCAACCUCACAGUUUUUUGGGAUUGUUUGUUCAAAAAGACUUGCUGCCAAGGAAAUGAAGGAAAGGGGAGAGGGUUAGCCAUUCCAGGCCCUCACGUUCCAGGCGUUAGGUGGGGAUGGGGUGUGUGUGAGGGCUUUAGGGAAGCAGACGUUUUACAAGGUGUGGAAGAUUUAAGAUGUGGGGGAGAUUUAUAGAUAUUGGCCACUGGUGAGUUAGCUAGCAUUGAUAGAAAACAAAUUUUCUCAAAGGACAGAUAUAUUAGGUUCCAAAAAUGGUCAAAUUUGGAGAAACGUGGCAAAGAAUGUUUUCCAUGAGUGUGAUGGGAGGGAAAUGAGAAACUAUGACAGGACCACAGACCUUAACACAGCUGAUUCCAUGAUGAAAGCACCAUUCAGGUGGUAAAACUCUGAACGUAGACAGCACCACCUGCCAGAAUGAAGACAAAGACCUAAUCCAUCCAAGUCAUAGUUCCUGGAAGUCUCUAAAUGUACUCACCUUGCCUCUUGGCUUCUGUAUCUCCACUUCUGGCUAACUGUUCUUGUUAACUGAAGUGUGCAAACUCAGAACAUGGGAUUUGUCUUUAAAAGCUCACCCUGAGAAAGGCUCAGGGCUACACUGAGGGCUACACUCGGGGCUAACACCUAAUGUAAUUUUUGGCCAGUUAAUAAAGACUUUCUGUUGGCUUAAA